GAGUCUUGGAUGAACACGAGGCAGAUGCAGGAAUAAGGACAAAUAAGGGAACACCACAUCCGCUUCAUACCUGAUCCAGGCAAGCCCAGACUCCCCUGCCACGUAGGAAGCUAUGUCUAAUGUCACACAGGAGUGACCCUGAUGAGGUCAACAGCAGCAAUGUCAUCACAGGCAGAUCUACCUAUCAGGGACCAGGGACUCUCUGAACUCCCACUUCUCAACCCAGAGAUCAGAGCCUGGAACAGACAGGUGCCUCGUUCUCAUUCUGGCCCUGCCAUGGCUCUCAGGCUUCUCCACUGUGUGGCCCUUUGUCUCCUUGGAGUAGGUCACAUGUGUGCCAUGGUCACCCAGAACCUGAAAUACCAGAUUACCAGGAAGGGAAAACUAGUGACACUGAGUUGUUUUCAGAAUUUGAACCAUGAGCUCAUGUACUGGUACCAGCAAAAGCCGAGCUAAGCCCCAAAGCUGCUGUUCUCCCACUAUGAUAAAGAAUUUAACAAUGAAACAGACACCUCCAACAACUUCCUACCCAGCCGGCCUAACACUUCCUUCUGUUCUCUUAGCAUCUGCUCCCCAGGUGUGGGGGACUCAGCAGUGUAUCUCUGUGCCAGC
Non-coding RNA from Equus caballus (horse), 612 nucleotides. The record is from RefSeq and is a predicted model, not a curated record. NCBI's taxonomy places the organism in Eukaryota, Metazoa, Chordata, Mammalia, Perissodactyla, Equidae.